ACGGGUGCGGAACACGUACGUAACCUUCCUUUAAGUGGGAGAUAGCCCGAAGAAAUUCGGAUUAAUACCCCAUAAGAUUGUGGAGUGGCAUCACUCAGCAAUUAAAGAAAUUCGCUUAAAGAUGGGCGUGCGGCUGAUUAGGUAGUUGGUGAGGUAACGGCUCACCAAGCCAACGAUCAGUAACUGGCGUGAGAGCGCGACCAGUCACACGGGCACUGAGACACGGGCCCGACUCCUACGGGAGGCAGCAGUAAGGAAUAUUGGUCAAUGGACGCAAGUCUGAACCAGCCAUGCCGCGUGAAGGAUGAAGGUCCUCUGGAUUGUAAACUUCUUUUAUAUGGGAAGAAACCAUCUUUUUCUAAAGGUGUUGACGGUACCAUAGGAAUAAGCACCGGCUAACUCCGUGCCAGCAGCCGCGGUAAUACGGAGGGUGCAAGCGUUAUCCGGAUUCACUGGGUUUAAAGGGUGCGUAGGCGGAUUAGUAAGUCCGUGGUGAAAUCUCCGAGCUUAACUCGGAAACUGCCGUGGAUACUAUUAAUCUUGAAUACUGUGGAGGUUAGCGGAAUAUGUCAUGUAGCGGUGA
This 583-nucleotide ribosomal RNA is filed under the name Chitinophaga sp. TDB-063. RNAcentral's name for it is "bacterial SSU rRNA". It matches the Rfam family "Bacterial small subunit ribosomal RNA", at positions 102 to 684 of the family's 1533-position model. The record is from RNAcentral. Lineage: Bacteria; Pseudomonadati; Bacteroidota; Chitinophagia; Chitinophagales; Chitinophagaceae.